Molecule: long non-coding RNA, 240 nt
Organism: Mastomys coucha (southern multimammate mouse)
Lineage: Eukaryota; Metazoa; Chordata; Mammalia; Rodentia; Muridae
Exons: 2
Source: RefSeq, a predicted model, not a curated record
UGGAAGUAGGUGCCAUCCUGCCAUGGCGAAUGCCUCUCAAGAUUCACGGCUCCCCACAUUUCUUCCCAUUUUUUCUUUCUUUUUCUUUCAACUGUACUGGAACAAGGUAGUCAUGCCACCACAGAAAUUAAAAUAAAGCAAGGAUCAUACCUGAUGAGAAGCAGAAGCAGAGAACCCACCGUGCCAAGGACAGAUCAACCCACAGGAAUGUUGACAUAAUAAACGCAUAUUGAUUUAACA